RNAcentral lists this long non-coding RNA (1371 nucleotides) under Equus caballus (horse). Its description in RNAcentral is "lncRNA (ENSECAG00000060294.1)". The record is from RNAcentral. Lineage: Eukaryota; Metazoa; Chordata; Mammalia; Perissodactyla; Equidae.
GUCCUUACCACGUGGGUCUCUCCACUGGGCUGUCCAAGUGUACUUGUGACACAACAGCUGGUUUUUCCCCAAAGCUAGUGAUCGGAGAGAGAGAGAGAGAGAGAAUAAGCAGGAAGCUGCAGUGCCUUUUAUGACCUAGUUUCAAGCCAUACACCACUGCUUCUGCUUUCUCCUAUUUGUGAGAGUAGAGACAUUAAGUCUAGCCUAUCCUUAAGUGGAGGGGAAUUAGGCUCUGCCUCUCUAAGGAAGGAGUGUCAAAGAGUCUUGGGUCAUACCUUAACACCUCCACAACAGCUCACCAUGAGCUCCCUAGCUGACUGUCAGGAUCCUGGGACCAAUCUGCAGGGCUGAGUCCAUCUGGCCCUGGGGCAGCCCAGCCUCUUCAGUUGUAGCUGGGGCCUCCCCAUCUGUCCCUGUCCCUCUCCAACUGGGAGGAGGGUGAACAGACGAGUACACACCUUUCAAAACAGUCUUCUGGUGAAGAGAGACAGAGGGAGAGAAAGAAGGGUAAUACUUAAGCCCUUGGAGUCGCCCUAACCUCUUCUCCAGCUUAAGCCAGCUCUGCUCUGCCACUGACAGGUGUGACCCAGGCAGAGCGAGACGCCCCGUUAUGCAGAUGGUGAACAGAUAGCCAGGGACCUUGACCUCAAAGCUCUGGCCUCCAAAUCCCAGCUGUGACAGCUCACACAGAUCCUGUCAGUGGAAGACUCUCAAUCUGGAGAGGGAGCAGCAAAAAUAUUAAAUUUCAAAAAUGACAUUGCGCUGGUUGUUCAGAAAAGUUUCCAGGCUUUGCUUUCAUUGAUGAGACUGCACCUGUGCUGCCAUGUGAAAAGAGCUCAACGGACUUCUGGUGGGAGAGCUGGUUGAUACAACCUCACUGGAAAGCAGUUUGGCAGAAUCUCCCAAAGCUGCACAUACUUGAUGCUCCAGGAAUCCCACUCCCACCCGAGGAAAACAAGUACUUACGUUCACCCAAAGACGUGGAUGAGAAUGUUCACAGCAGCUUUCUUCCUAAGGUCAGGGACACGCCCAAAGGUCCGUGAAGGUAGACUGGACAAAGCGUAGUGCAUCCACGCGAAGGAAAGCCACGCUGCAACGAGCAUGCAAGAGCCCAGCUCUCCAGGGCAACGUGGAUGGAACUGGCACACAACCUUCCGAGAAAGAGGCCAGACAGGAAGCGUAUAUACUUCACGGCUCCAUGUAUGUGAAAUCCAGGGACAGACAAAACCAUUCUGGGAGAUAGAAAUCAGGACGGGGGCUCCCUUGGGUGGAGUUUUGACAGGAAAGGGUUGAGAGCCUUCAGGGGCCAGAAAUGUUCUCAUUUUUUGUCUAGGUUUAUACGUAGGUGAAAAAUUCAUCAAGACAUACAUU